RNAcentral lists this ribosomal RNA (465 nucleotides) under uncultured bacterium. Its description in RNAcentral is "partial 16S ribosomal RNA". It matches the Rfam family "Bacterial small subunit ribosomal RNA", at positions 28 to 507 of the family's 1533-position model. The record is from RNAcentral.
GACGAACGCUGGCGGCGUGCUUAACACAUGCAAGUCGUACGGUAAGGCCCUUUCGGGGGUACACGAGUGGCGAACGGGUGCGUAACACGUGAGUAACCUUCCCACAACUUUGGGAUAACGCUAGGAAACUGGUGCUAAUACUGGAUAUGUGCUCCUGCUGCAUGGUGGGGGUUGGAAAGCUCCGGCGGUUGUGGAUGGACUCGCGGCCUAUCAGCUUGUUGGUGGGGUAGUGGCCUACCAAGGCGGCGACGGGUAGCCGGCCUGAGGGGGUGACCGGCCACAUUGGGACUGAGAUACGGCCCAGACGCCUACGGGAGGCAGCAGUGGGGAAUAUUGCACAAUGGGCGCAAGCCUGAUGCAGCAACGCCGCGUGCGGGAUGACGGCCUUCGGGUUGUAAAACGCUUUCAGCAGGGACGAAGCUUUUUGUGACGGUACCUGCAGAAGAAGCACCGGCUAACUACGUG